AUGCUGCUUUAGUUGCUGAAGAGCUAUCUGCUAUGAAUUUGAAUCCUUACAGCCAUUCACUUCCCCUAUUCGGAGCUCUAGGAAAGUUCGUCUUAAAGAGCGACCGUCAGGAAUUACGGUCGGAUGCUUCGCUUCUAUAAAUCUGGGAUGCUGAGACGGAACUUGCCAACGAGCAUGGCGAUGGGUGUGAAUCAUCAUUUCAUGCAAUGCAUAUUUUAUUUUGCUUAGGAAGUGGUGCAAUAUGAAGUCUGCAGAAUGUCAACCAUUGGAAUUGAUGGGAGCACGGCAAGGUUUCAUGGAAAGAGUAAGGACAGUACAAAUGGCACGGGUGCAAGGUGGUAUACAUGGAUGAUCAGUCGGUUGCUCUCAUAUGUUUCUGAUGCUUUAUUUGAAGAGUUAACCUCUGGAUCAGGCUUUUGCAAUGGUGCUUCCAGGUUGGCGGGCGGGUGGACGUUGAGAAUAGAAUUUUGUUACAGUGGCUGUACUCGACGGACGGAGGCUGCAGCUGGUGGUGGUUGAAGCU
This 523-nucleotide small RNA is filed under the name Malus domestica (apple). RNAcentral's name for it is "sRNA MD12G0095600". The record is from RNAcentral. Lineage: Eukaryota; Viridiplantae; Streptophyta; Magnoliopsida; Rosales; Rosaceae.